RNAcentral lists this transfer RNA (87 nucleotides) under Alphaproteobacteria bacterium. Its description in RNAcentral is "tRNA-Leu". It matches the Rfam family "tRNA". From Rfam's summary of the family: Transfer RNA (tRNA) molecules are approximately 80 nucleotides in length. Their secondary structure includes four short double-helical elements and three loops (D, anti-codon, and T loops). Lineage: Bacteria; Pseudomonadati; Pseudomonadota; Alphaproteobacteria. The record is from RNAcentral.
GACCCCUUGGCGGAACCGGUAGACGCCGCAGACUUAAAAUCUGCUGUCCGAAAGGGCGUGCCGGUUCGAGUCCGGCAGGGGUCACCA